GAUGAACGCUGGCGGCGUGCCUAAUACAUGCAAGUCGAGCGAAUGGAUUAAGAGCUUGCUCUUAUAAAGUUAGCGGCGGACGGGUGAGUAACACGUGGGUAACCUGCCCAUAAGACUGGGAUAACUCCGGGAAACCGGGGCUAAUACCGGAUAACAUUUUGAACCGCAUGGUUCGAAAUUGAAAGGCGGCUUCGGCUGUCACUUAUGGAUGGACCCGCGUCGCAUUAGCUAGUUGGUGAGGUAACGGCUCACAAAGGCAACGAUGCGUAGCCGACCUGAGAGGGUGAGCGGCCACACUGGGACUGAGACACGGCCCAGACUCCUACGGGAGGCAGCAGUAGGGAAUCUUCCGCAAUGGACGAAAGUCUGACGGAGCAACGCCGCUUGAGUGAUGAAGGCUUUCGGGUCGUAAAACUCUGUUGUUAGGGAAGAACAAGUGCUAGUUGAAUAAGCUUGCACCUUGACGGUACCUAACCAGAAAGCCACGGCUAACUACGUGCCAGCCGCCGCAGUAA
RNAcentral lists this ribosomal RNA (515 nucleotides) under uncultured bacterium. Its description in RNAcentral is "partial 16S ribosomal RNA". It matches the Rfam family "Bacterial small subunit ribosomal RNA", at positions 28 to 523 of the family's 1533-position model. The record is from RNAcentral.